GGAGGAAUAUUGGGCAAUGGGGGAAACCCUGACCCAGCAACGCCGCGUGAAGGAAGAAGGCCUUCGGGUUGUAAACUUCUGUGACAGGGGAAGAAAGAAAUGACGGUACCCUGAGAGGAAGCCACGGCAAACUACGUGCCAGCAGCCGCGGUAAUACGUAGGUGGCGAGCGUUGUCCGGAAUCACUGGGCGUAAAGGGCGCGUAGGCGGUUUGACAAGUCGCAUGUGAAAUACCAGGGCUCAACUCUGGGGGGUCAUGCGAAACUGUUGGACUUGAGUGUAGUAGAGGAAAGCGGAAUUCCUGGUGUAGCGUUAAAAUGCGUAGAGAUCAGGGGGAACACCGGUGGCGAAGGCGGCUUUCUGGGUUAUAACUGACGCUGAGGCGCGAAAGCGUGGGGAGCAAA
This 403-nucleotide ribosomal RNA is filed under the name uncultured bacterium. Its description in RNAcentral is "bacterial SSU rRNA". It matches the Rfam family "Bacterial small subunit ribosomal RNA", at positions 355 to 772 of the family's 1533-position model. The record is from RNAcentral.